UGUGUUGACAUCCCAAGUGUAGGAUGACUUUCUCGUGAAUUUGUCUUUCAACAUGAUAGGUACUAAUGUGUCUCUUCCCUAAAGAUAUUAGAGUGAAAUUUUGGCAGGAGGAGCAUGCAAUACUAUAAAUGCUCCCCAAACCAAAAUGUUGUUCAUCUACACAGUUUUUUAAAUGCAGUGGCUGGUGGCAUGUAGUGCAUCCUCGAUAGAGUUGUCCUGCCAUAAAUCCAAUUUCCACCACUCGUCUGCCUUCUUUCCAAUUUAUUUUUCGAGGAUUUUCUGUUUAAAAAUUGUAUUUCAUUUUUCAUUUUGAUAACUUAGCUAUUUCUAUAAACUCAUUAUCUUGAGAUAAAAUAUUUACUAAAACAAUUUAAAUCAUUUUUUUCAUAUUAAACAAAAUUUUCUUACCAUGGAAAUAUUGUUCACCUUCAGUGUCAGUGUCUGAUUUCGUUGUUAUCCGCCCAUGCUGUUUAGGAUGAGUUGUAUCCUUUUCACUAUGUAAAACAAAGGAAAAAACAUCAUUACGUUAUGGGUUAUGGACUAUAUUAAUUUAUCACUAUGUGAAUACGAAAAUUAAUAUUUGUACUUUUGAUUUUAUAAAAAAAAACAAAUUCCAAAUUCAAUACCAUUACCUGGAAGAUAUUACAGAGUGGUUACAGUCAUUUGGCGGAAUUUCAAACACCGGUGCUGCCGUUAAACUCACGCAUUUCAUAUGGUGUUUCUUCUUGGAGGAGUAUGAAUGGUCAUGUAACGCAUGCACUUUAGAUACAUCUUUUGCGUUGUUGUUGUUUAAAUCGCAAGUCUGUGUUUGACCCACGAGUCGGCCAUUCUUGUCUCUUCGUUUAUCAACUUUCCGACUGUUUGUCUUCGCCAUUGUUGUUGUCAGGCACUAUUAUUACCUUACUUGUGAAAAGAACGGGUUUUACGAAAGAUAACUCUUCCAGUACGAUGUAAGAGUUAUAGAACAUUGAAGUGAAAAUCCUUUUUGUGUAGAGAUAAAAACGCUUUAAAAUGGCAGCAACCCCCCAUCGUUAAGUGAAAUGUACAGAUAACAAUACCAUUGUUUCAUAGAUUUAGCUUAUAAAAUAGUGGAAAACAGGCACAUUAAAUAAUAUCAAUUUAAUUUUAAGCAGGCAAUUGAAAGCGGGAAUAAACAUUUUUGUAAUAAGAUAAGACCUUGGUCUAAUAAAUACAAUCAAAAUUAGCUUGGGUAUAUUCACUGGCUUUAACUUACAACUAUUUGAAGUUACCGCUUUUCCACAAAAUCCAACUUAAAGUUACUUCCGUGUGUUGACUCUUCUGUAUUGAAGUACAAAACAAAGACGUCACAACAACAUUGCAAAAGCAGACGUUGGGAAAACAUAGAUCAAAUGGGGUGGAGAAAGCAUGUGAUUAAGUUUUAUGUAUUUAGAGUUAGUCUCUAAUGAAUUGGUGAAUAUGAAAUGAACCAUGCUCUAUUUGGGAUUUAGCUUAACUACCGAUCUGUGCUGUAUUCAAACCUUUUGUAAACACCUGACUGUCUUGUACACAAUGAUCAAGUGAAAAGGACAGCGUUUUCCUCUACAUAAGUUUCGGUAAUCUGACAUACGAAUCCAGCACUCAACCAAGGAAGCUAAUGAGCUACCAACCUGCAACACUUAUAUAGGAAUGCAAAACAAUUAAACACCCCCACCCCGGACUGAUGGUGUGGAAAGAAUCGCAGUGUGUACUCUUCUAGAGUGUCAACCCAUGAUGAGCAUAGUUCUGAGGUACCCACAGCAAUUACAAAAAUCCAUCAUUGCCAUGCAUUUUAUAUGUGAAAGUCAGAUCUGGUGCCAAUAAUGUGGUUUGAUUAAAUUAACCUCAAAUCUCUGGAAUAUACAUGUAUAUGUUUAAAAACCUCAUGAACAAGCGAAGAAAUAGGAUCAUAAAAAGGCCGUCUAUGGAGAUAAGAUGCAGUUCAUGGCAGUCCUUAUUCCAAUUGGUCAAGGAUUAUGUGUAUGCUGCGGAAACAAAUGAAUUUGACUCUUAUCAUCACAACAGAGUCUGUCAAAGGGAGACAUAAAACAGAAAAUAUCCAAGAAGGGUUGCAGUGACAUGUACAACCUCUUGAUAUCAAAGAAAAGAACAUCCAAAAUCAGAAAAAAGAAAUUGAUGUCAGAAAUCGAAUUAACUCAAAAACAAUGGAGGGAAAUUUAUAGUCUGCCCUUUAAGUGCACAAAGGAUUCAAAAUUACUGUGGCUUCAAUACCAACUAUUACAUAGGAUCUUGCCAAUCAAUUAUCAUUUACAUUAGUAGGGAUUGUAAAUUCUCCAUUGUGUUACUUUUGUCAACAGACCCCUGAGAGCAUAGAACAUAUUUUUGUUGACUGUUAUUUAGUGAAGGAAAUUUGGAUUGAUUUGUAGAAAUGGAUGACAGAUAUCUUUGGUUUACAAACAAAUUUUGACAAAUAUUCAAUCAUUUUGGAAAAUUUGAAAAUAGAGGUAGUCAUAGGUUGGAAAAUUUAAUCAUUCUUUUCACAAAACAAUGCAUUCUGCAAACUAAAAUGAAAACAUCAAGGCUAAAUGUAAAACGCAUUAAGAAAUCUAUAACCAGAAGACUG
This is a long non-coding RNA of Magallana angulata, 2581 nucleotides long. RefSeq lists it as uncharacterized. The transcript has 3 exons. Lineage: Eukaryota; Metazoa; Mollusca; Bivalvia; Ostreida; Ostreidae. The record is from RefSeq and is a predicted model, not a curated record.